This is a long non-coding RNA of Gasterosteus aculeatus aculeatus (three-spined stickleback), 2432 nucleotides long. The record is from Ensembl. Lineage: Eukaryota; Metazoa; Chordata; Actinopteri; Perciformes; Gasterosteidae.
CCCGAAUCAGCCCAGAAUGAGCCAGCUGACACCUCUGAUGACUCAGUUUCUCUCCACGUUGAAGGUGCGGUUCAUGAGCGCUGGAGCGCGUCACUAAGCCCCGCCCCCCCCGCUCGCUAUGACUCCGUCAAACCGUCAGAGCAACAUCACCAUGGAGACCGAACUGUCGCUAGCUUAAUGAAUGUGGUGUUGUCUGAGGGGAGGAAACCAAGUAACAACUCAACAGAGAAACAGACAUGAGUUUCUAAAACGUUUCGGCGGAGGACACGUUUAAGAUGAUAAGAUGAUAAGAUAAAACGAAAAGACAGAAGCGAAAGCUAAAGCUAAUAGCAUCAAAGUCAAUCAAACACAGCAUAGCAUAGAAGUGCUACCGCCAGGUGAUAAAGCGCUAACACUAGUUUAAUGGUCUGCUAGUGUUUUCUCCACACUUUUUUUCUUUGCAACGGAACCUUUUUUCUAAGUCUGAAACGUCAGCUCGAAGGUCUUCAGAAAAGGGACCUGAAGGCAUCUCCCAGCUUCUCCUCUUGCAGCACCUUGAGAGCUGCUGCUGGUCCCCGAGGGGCCGACGGGACGAUCUUUAUUAUUAUAAUGUACUUUCCUUAAUUCCCCUCUGAUUGAAAACACAUCUGACUUCAGCCACUCAUACUUUCCUUUUCUUACCACUGAAAGAUUUAACUUACAAGACAUAGUCUGCACACACACGAUAAUAACUGGUUAAUUAACAACUAUUUCCUUAAUGUUAACCAUUAAGACGUAGCAUGCUAACACGCUAGGUGUCUUUGUGUUUGCUCGUCGAUGUUAACCAGGGGAAAGCAGGCACUCACAUGUUGACGUGGCAGCUUCACAGAGCUGCCAACAGACGUGUAGACUCUCAGGUGUGUGUGUGUGUGUGUGUGUGUGUGUGUGUGUGUGUGUGUGUUCGCUUCCCGCCCUUUGUCUGCAGGCGGUGAUAAAUGCGUUAUCUCACUGCACCAACGUUCCCUUUUCACGUAAUAACCGGCGGGGCUUUGACUUUGUUCCUGCCGACUUCAGAAGCGUCACAGCCGCCCGUACCGUCGCCUCCUACGAAGACGUCCUAAUCAUACGCACACACACACACACACACACACACACACUUUGCGUGUGCGAGCGCUUGCUUUCAGAGCGCCACGCAGAGCGAGAGGGUCAAAGGUCAAGGCAAAGCCUGAAGGGGAUUGAAUAAUCGCUCAUUGUCAUCAAGGUGAAAGACGGACAUGCGUGUAAUAUGAAGGCUCGAACAUGAGGACGUGUGAUUGACAUUCUACAGACGAAGCAGUGGGACAAUUAAGCUGACGUCUCUGGCGGCUCGGACGGGGAUUAACGUCCAAUUUGCCGCUCUCUUCCUGGGCUCAGGUCUGUCCCAACAGCUCGGCACUUCAAAGGGGGCAGAUGUGAGGGCAGAGGAGGGUCGGCCAUUCUUCGCGGGGCAAUCGGCUUAGUCGAGCUCUGUUUAAAAUGGCAGCAGCACAAAAAAGGUGAAAGCUGUUUUGAUGUGCUGCGGAGUGUGAGGGGUCGGGCCAGCUGUACAGUAGCCCCCCCGCCCCCCCCCCCCAACAUGAGACCAUGCGCGGGCUUGUUCCCUUUGCCCGCCUGCAUCUCUGGGGAUCAAUCGGGAUUAAAAAGGUCAGAUUUUUCUCUCAUUUGGGCAGCGUUAAUGCAUGUGGUAUGAAUGGUGUUUUUGCAGGUGCAAUAUGAGAAGUAUAUAGAAAUAUUUGGAAGCAGCUAAUCGUCAAGACUUAAGUUUGUUGAAAUUAUCUUAUGAUUUUCUUUUUACAUUUUGAGUGCAAAUGGGCCUAAAGGUCAAAAAUGUGGACACCAAAAAGCUGAAAUAUAAAUUGAAUGUAUCCUUUGUGCAGUAAUGACGAUGACAGAAACUUUUCAGUGAUAUUUAUUCAGUGGUUUUCAGCCGUCGGCUUCAGUAACCUGCAGCGCAGAAGCAACAUGGAGAAUCCCACAUGAAAUCCUUUUCUGUUUCCUUUCCUUUCCACCGCCUCCUCUCCCUUCAGGUCUCAACACGCUCUUCUCCCACCGAGUGUAGAAAACAAGCAGCAACAAGUCAGUGGGGAGCACUCGCCUCAGGUUGAGGGGAACCAGCGUAAACAAACACUGCUGGAGGGUCCGAGAGGCGAUAAUUCUCCAAUAACCAAACCAAUAACAUCACUGUGGUAUUUACCAAUAACAUCACUGUGGUAUUUACCAAUAACAUCACUGUGGUAUUUACCAAUAACCUCACUGUGGUAUUUACCAAUAACAUCACUGUGGUAUUUACCAAUAACCUCACUGUAGUAUUUACCAAUAACCUCACUGUGGUAUUUACCAAUAACAUCACUGUGGUAUUUACCAAUAACAUCACUGUAGUAUUUACCAAUAACAGGUAUUUACCAAUAACAUCACUGUGGUAUUUACCAAUAACC